UUUUCCCAUCAACUCUAACUAAGAAAAAGAAAACCCGGUUCCGGUAACCGUAACCGAAACCAAACACCAUACCGACACCACUUCUCAUUCACCACUAUGCCUCCUAACCACUUAACUAUCUCUACUAAACCACUCGAGACUUAAACCACGGAAAACAUACUACCCGAAACCAUUUCUGGUGAAGAAAUACAAAUUCUGGCGAUACUUACGUACUUUCCGACGACGUCUUUCGUAACCGAAACGUGUUUUUGACCAAGGUUUAUACGAACAUGCUUGACAAGUUUAUAUAUUUUAAGACGACAAUCAAGAAACAAGGCUCACAGGUUACUUUGGGCAGGGUGAAGAGUGAAGAAUAAACCCUAGGAUGUUAACCGAAGAUGUUU
This 383-nucleotide long non-coding RNA is filed under the name Helianthus annuus (common sunflower). RNAcentral describes it as "sRNA HanXRQr2_Chr02g0063531". Lineage: Eukaryota; Viridiplantae; Streptophyta; Magnoliopsida; Asterales; Asteraceae. The record is from RNAcentral.